CUCACUCUGUAGACCAGGCUGUCCUCGAACUCACAGAGAUCCGCCUGCCUCUGCCUCCUGAGUGCUGGGAUCAAAGAUGUGUGCCACCACCGCCCAACCGUAUUGUUGCUUUUCAAGCUGUGUUCUGAGACCCUUUUAAGCUGGGGGGGGGAGGGGGGGUAUUAAAGAAGAGGUGUUCUGCCCAAACCGCUUUGGCCCCCUCAUCCUCUCAAACCCCAUCUGCUCUCCCUUGGAGUGCCCCCUCACUGACCCACCCACCUAGGAAGGCUUUGAAAUCUCCCGGAAAGGCCUGCUAAUAAAGACAGCCUACAAAAGCAGUGUUCUUCCCAGAGCAAAGGGCCUCAGGUACCUCUUGUCCGGCAGGUCCCACUCAGAAGGAAGGGACACAGUCAGGAAGAUCCAUGAGGUACUCUGGGAAGGACCAACGGCAUGGCCUCCGGAGGGACCAGAAUCUGGCUAGUGUCUCCUCUGGCAUCCUCACAUGUCGUGGCCCAUCUAUCCUCGGGUUCCUUCGAUUUCCCUCUCUCUUCCUCACCUGUUGUCUGUCUCUGGCUCCAUCCUAACAUGCCUGUGACAAUCAUCUGAAGGCUUUCCUCCUAAGAGAGCCCAGGAGAGAAGGGAGGGACAAGGUGGGACCCACCAAGGAUAUUGGGCUGCAUGUCCUUGCCCUCCACCUCACCAGCUGGACAGGCUGCCUAGCACAGCACUGAUCCUCACCUGCCUAUGGCCCCCUCCUCAUUCUGGGAGUGUGGAGGAAAGCCCCCCACCCCACCCCAGUCUGCUGGCUGAAGCCUGGGACCCUCCUCUGCCAGGACCCCACCAGGCUGGGCCCGGCUUGGCUGCCGGCCUGGGCUGCCGUAUCGAUUAUCUUGGCUCCUUUUUGCUGGGGAUAUCAAUCUAGCGGGUUCCCGGGAUGGCUGUGUUUUAACCUCUCACCCUGGUCUAGACUCUGUCGGCUCCUGCUGUCCCUCAGCCAGGAGGAGAUGGAGGCCCCGGGCCUCUUGGGCAGGCUCUGGAGCCAGCGGAUUUCCAGGAACCGAAGCUGGGAUCGCCUGGCGGCUCCGCAGCCCGCCAACCUGCCUCUCUCCAAACCGGCCGGUGAAUUAUUAAAGAUGCAAUUUCCUCUCAUCUUUCCAGUAAAAUUGCUCCCUGUGCCGUGCAUUGCUGCCUUCCUGUCACCGGCCAGCUGGGGUCUUGGCGAACUGUCAUUCACCCCAGAGUAGGGCACAGGGAACUGCGAGUCUUAGAAAUAGUGGUGCCCACUGUUUCACAACACCGGAGAAGGAAGUUCAGAGAAAUUCAGCAACCACGGUAGCUCAGCAAGCUACCAGCAGAGCUGGGCUGGGACCCUAUGUUCCAAACAGGGCUUCCUUUCCCCUGUACCAGGGAAGCCUGGAGAGUCCCCGCACAGUUACUCAGGGCUACUGGCACGUUCGCUCCCUAGUGAGAGUUGGGUCGAGUUCUCUGUAUAUCGAUCAAGUCUCCAAGUGUGAUUUACAGUCUUUGCUUGUUAUUUACCACCAGGUCCCCCACCGCAGCCGCUUAGCUAGGUAAAGCCGUCAUUGUUAGUGCCCUCUGGUCGGUAUUUAUUGUUUUGGGUUUUGCUGUUUACUGUUGGUGGUCAUAACAGGGGGGCUGGGAGCAGCCGCUCCAUGUAUGUUCUCUGUGACUUCGUGGCCGGGCUCCCCUCCUGAUACUGUUCCUCAAAGCCCUGCUCCAACUGGCCUUCCGUGGUUCCCCAUUCCCUGGGGAUCCCCAAGGGAAGUCUGAGUGCCUUACUGCUCUUCAGCCAAUGUCACAGGCAUGGGUGUUGGGCGUGUAUGGGGGUCUCAGAAGGGUGAAUUGAUGUCUACGGAAACAGCACUGCUAUGCCUGGCUCAGAGCUGACAUUCUGAAAGCUCCCAACACACCUUUGGCCCCUAGGUUCAAGGGUCAAAGUCUGCCCAAGCACCAGUUCUCUCAACCCAGGCAGGCGGAACCCGAAGGGGUCUUUGAGGUCACAACUGCCCUCCACUCAACUUGGCCUCCGUCCUCUGCCUCAGGCCGGCCCCCAGUAGGGAGCAGAUCCCAAGCUCCGCCAUAGCGCAACAGAAAACCUCUGGCCAGAGUCGCUCAAACUCCGGUGGGCAAAGCUGCGGCUGGCGGGCACUCUCGCUGUACCUGCCCGUGAAGGAAAGCCGCUCCAGGCCUCGCCCAGGCUUGCUCCAGAUGAAGCCACCCUGGCCGCUACCCCCACUCCCAUCACCAGCUCCUUAGUCCUUUUCUCUCUCCCACAAGCCUCCCUCACUCCCUCUACAUUAACCCCUGGCGGGGGACAGCAGGUUGAAAGACGCCUCUGAGGGCGCCCUGUGCUUGGCUCCUUGGCCUCCAUAAGGGGUAGUGUGGUGCUGAGGUUAGGACUCUGGCCCUCACUGGCCCAGCGGGCCACUUCAGGCAGGUGCAGAAACUUCUCUGUGCCUUUCUCACCAACAUCUGCAAAGGAUCGCUCAGGACAUAGCGGCCGCUGGAGAGGAGCGCUGUGAGUGUGAAAGGAGCCACUUCCACACACAACUCCAGAAAAUGAAAACAAAUCUGUGACGGCAGAAAAUGGGUCAGUGGUCUCCUGGGCAUGGGACAAGGGGCAGGCAGAAGAGUCGUCAACAGGAAAUCUGAGCGGGGUCCUGGGAGGGCACAUCUUCAAUCCCAGCACUCCGGAGGCAGAGGCAGGUGCAUUCUAGGACAGCCAGGGCUUCACAGAGAAACUCUGUCUCAAAAAACCAAAAAGAAGAAGAGGAGGAGGAGGAAGAAGAAAAGAUUGAUUCAUUCUCUUAAUUGUAGUGAUGGUUUUACAGUAUUUCCAUGUGCCAAAACAUAUCAUAUUGUAUCAUUUGUUUUUCCUUUUAUCAUCAGAUCUCAAUUGUACAAAAUAAAAAAUGGAUUUCCAGCUCAGAAGAUGGCUCAGCAAGGAAGGACACUUGCUGUACAAGUAUGAGGAUCUGAGUUCAAAUCCCCAGAAGCCAUGGGGAAAACUGGACGUGGAGCACACAUGCCUGUAACCCCAGUGUUGUUGGGGAGGGAAUAGGAGGAUCAGCCUAGCUCCAGGUUCAGUGAGAAUCCCUGUCUCGAGAGAAUUAGGCAGACAGAGAGAUAGUGACACCUGACACCCUCCUCUGGCCUUCAUAAACAAGCAUUCCUACCCCACCCCCACACACAUACAAACAAAUAGGUUUCAUCACGAUAUUUCUAUACACUGUGUACUUUAAAUAUGUGCAAUUUAUUGUAUGUCAACUAGACCUCAAAAGCCUAGACCUAUGUGAAUAAGAAAUGCGUGGGGUCAUUGCUUGCAUUCUCAGCUGCCACCUGUCCCACAACCAGGGCUCCUCCUCUCCUGAGUGUGAGCUCCCUGGGGUUCCUAAAAGCUUCCAGGCUGCCAAUGCUGUGUCUGGGUAGCCACAUGUGUGCAUGUCACCAGAUUCUGGGAUUCUUCUGGGAAAUUAACUAAAUAGCCACUGUCUCAGCCAGGCCACAUUCCAGAUCAUCACAGCUGCCCACUUCCAGGAAUUAAAGGGUUAAAGCCAGGCCCUCAAGUGCCUCUGGUGGGUUGGUUUUGCAUGUUAAAUGUUCUAAGCAUCAGGGAGUUUUAAGCUACUUCCAUCUAUGCCCAGGCCACAAUCAUCCGAGUAACCUUGGCUAACUGGCAAAGUCUAUACUCCAAAGUCUCAGUGUCUAGUAAUGCCAUUGUCUCUGUGCCUGGCCACAGCUGGGGACUCAGCCCCAGAGGAUGUUAGAGAUUCUCAGAGAUGUCCUAGCCUGUGUCUUCCAGGAAUAGUGCUCUGCCACCCUCCCCAGGAGCCAUGGUGGAGUAGGACAACACUUGGCAUGGUUACAAUGCAUACCUAGGCAGAGGUUAGAAUAGGAUUUCCUUGGCUCUGGUCGUAUAUUUUCUCCUCCUUGACAUGCUCAAAGGUCUUGAGGAGAGAGGGGCAGGGGAGAACAUUUUACAGAACAAAGAGGUGUGAGUCCAUGUCAUAAGCCGGCCUGAGGGCAGUGAUCAGGGUGGUUCAGUCUAGACAGGAGUCUGGGUCCUCCUGGUUCCUGAUUUUUCUCAAAAUACCUCUGUCUUGAGUAUGGAGUCCUCAUUCUGUCCUUCUCUGUGAUAUAUCCCCUCUUCCUGGUUCUUGCAACACCUCCCCCAAAAAUCAACACCUCAGGCUAGAGUUGUCCUUGACCCUUCCUAGAACACGAGUGUCCUACCUUCUUGGGAAUUCCCCACAAUGGGUAAGAACCCACAGUUACAGCCUUAGUAGUAGCCUCAGAAUGGUCCAUCAGAAUGGAUGAGGCCAGCAAUAUGCCCAGUGUAGGAAAUGACCUUGUCACGGCUGACCACCAGGGAACAUUACUGAGAAAGCCAAGAAGCUGCCGGCCAUCUCAGAAUCCUGGGACAGCCACAGAGUCGGGCUCCAGGUCUGCAGGAGGGCCUAGGCCAGGCGGGAAUGGAUUUAAGCAUGUAAAAGUACGAGGGGAAAAAAACAUGUGAGAGAGAAUCCUGUGUGAGAGAGAAGGAGACUUCUGUGUGAGAGAGAAGGAGACUUCUGUGUGAGAGAGAAUUCUGUGUGAGAGAGAGAAUUCUGUGUGAGAGAGAGAAUUCUGUGUAAGAGAGACUUCUGUGUGUGAGAGAAUUCUGUAUGCAAAGAGAAUUCUAUGUGUGAGAGAAUUCUAUGUAAGAGGGAAUUCUGUGUGUGAGAGAAUUCUGUAUGCAGAGAAUUCUGUGUGAGAGAGAAUUCUGUGUGUAAGAGGAAGAAUGACUGCGGGUGUGUCUGAGAAACAAAGAUAACUCUGAGAAGUUUAUGGGAGGGAAACUGUAAGUUCAUGAAAGCAAUGUUCAUGAACUUUGAACUUCGAAACACUGUUCAUGAAUAAAUGUCCCUUCUGCAGGUCUGUGUUUUGGGGUGUCCAUGCCAGACUGUCAGAGCCUCUCUCACAGUCCCCAGACCCAGAGAGAGACCUGGGGCAGGCUGUACAGGAGAAGGUCCCCCAUAACUUCUGACCUUUUGGAGGGACUUGUGGCUCCUUUCUGUCGUCCAUCAUAUCAAAGUGGUGGAGUCGGGUUUGAGGACCCCACAUGCUCAUCUGCCACCGCCUGGGCCUCACCUGGUGCUCUCAGAAGCAAGACUCACAAAUAUGUCACUCAGAUGAUAGAAUGGCUUUCCUGUCAGCAGCUGAGAGGGCCAGCAGAAAGCCCUCUGGUGAGUGACAGCCACCUCAACAUAUCUGUGGAGAAUACCUUGGAGCACUCUGGGCACUGGUCCCAUCCAUGCUCAGGCCAGGCAAGACAGAUCCUCUCUCCAGGUGCCCCAGCAGUUGGUGAACUGGUGUGUGGCAGGGCAAGGCUGAUAUACAGUCAGCAACGCUCAUACUCAGGCCUUUGGACCUUUUGAAGGUCUCAGAAUCCUUUGAGAAACUGAGGAAAGCAUGUGUCCCUUUUCUAAAGAAAUGAGUCCACACUUGCAGAUGUCUUCUCUAAUCUUAGAAGCUUCCUGAGUUCCUGCCUCAGUUUGCUGUGGAUCUCCAGGCCCCAGGGAAAUGCACCAGAGCCACUGGAACCAAGGUAACCUGAAAUUGCCUGAAAGUCCCCAUCCCCAACCCCAGAUGAUCCAGAGCUCAGUUUAUGGAAAACAAUAUAGAAGCAUGUGCCUGUAAUCUCAGGAAGCAGACAGACAGGAGGAUAGAGAGCUAGAGGCCAACCUGAGCUACAUGGUGAGACCAUGUUUAGAUAGAUAGAUAGAUAAAUAGACAGACCGAUAGAUGUAAAUAGAUAGAUAGAUUAUAGAUAGGUAGAUAGGUAGGUAGGUAGGUAGAUAGAUAGAAGUAGGUAGAUAGAUAGAUAGAUAGAUAGAUAGAUAGAUAGAUAGAUAGAUAGAUAGAUAGACAGAUAGAUGUAGGUAGGUAGGUGGAUGGAUGGAUGUAUGGAUAGAUGGAUGGGUGGGCGGGCGGGCUGACUGAUGGACGGACAGACAGACAGAUAGAUAGACAGACUGACCCCAUAAGGAACCACUGAGGCACUUGCCUGGCAUGCACAGGGCUCUUGGUUAGAUUCUCUAGCACAACAAAAAGAAGCUAAGUACCCUGAAGAAUGAAGUAUCCCCUCCCUACCUUUAAUGGGGUGGUGGGUGGUGGUGGUGGUACCAAGCAGGGGAUUCCAAGUGAAUCCUUUAUAGUCUGACCUUCAGCCAUAAGCAACUUUGGGACCUGAGGCUUUGUUUAAUCAAUGUUCUAUUGCCUACAUUCUGUUGAGACACACAUUAAGUCACGCAUGAGUAUAUGAUUAGUACACGGAAUGGACACAUAGACAUGUUCUCUGCCUUUGUAUUGCCAGAAAAGUAACAAGGAAACACAUAAAUCCGUGUAUGUAUUUCUGUGAGGUGUAGAGUCUAACAAAACCCCGAAGACUCUGGUUUCUGCAUCCAUACAUGAAGGUCAUUUCAUCAUUGCUUCUGCUUCUGUGAGAAGUGAGACAAGCUAUGCUAAGCAUGAAACACACAACGGGUGUAGCUCUCAACACCCAGGAACAGCAGAAAGGAGGGAAGGAGCAGGCCUGGCCUCUCUCGACUGACAGAGGUUUCGUGUAACCUGAGAGCUACUGAGCUGACCCACCUGGCCCCUGAACCUGGAGGGGAAGCCAGUCUACAAGCACCCUUCAAGCCAUGGGCAUCAUUUAGACAGCAGUCAAGCUUAGAUGAUGGGAAAGAAGAGGUCCAGAGUAGGAGGAGGCUUCAGUCAGGGCUGAGGAGGGUACCUUGGAUGACCAAACUAGAGAGAGAGAGAAUAAGGAGAAGGGAGACUUCAAAUAUCUGCAAAGAAAGAAGAAAAAGGAUUAGAUGUUUAAGGUCAUCCUUGGCUACAUAGCAACUUUGCGGCCAGCCUGGGCUACAAGAAACACUCUCUUGAGAAAAACUACAAAUUAGGAAUAGAACAGCCUUCACAAAGAUUUAUCAUCUUGGAUUCAAGUGAGCUGACUGCCCUCUUCCUUCCUUCCAAAAGCAAGAACAGUAAACCUCUGUCAUCCAGGAUCUCAACUGUGUCUACGGUUUUUCCAGGUGAAUCAGACAGGGCAAGAGAAUGGACUUUGGACUACAGCUUGGUAGGAUCCUGCACCUGCCUCCCGGACUAAACCAUGGGCUUCUCUGAACCAGUUUUGUCAUCUUUAAGAAAGAAACAAAAUGGUGCAGUGUCAUCAUGAGGAUUCAGCAGGUAUGUGUUCCCGAUACCUGCGCUGCUGAAAGGCUGGUGAGAGGACAAAUGGCCAGACCCAGGGAAAGCAGCCUCUCCUGGUCUCUCCCCCACACAAGUGUUUCCACCCUUACUUCCAGGCCCUCCAUCUUCCCUAGCCAAGGCAAGGCCUCCCCUCCUCCCCCAGGGGUACAGUGUGACUUCUCCUGGGAAGACACAAACAUCUUUUCACUACAGAUAGGGCACUGGAAAACCAACCAAAGAAAUGAUCACACCCAAGUAUUGAUGAAAUUAUUAAGGCCACUCCACGUUGUUAAAAGGGAGGUUUAUUAGUGGCGUAACUUACAAAUGAAGGGAUAGGUAGGUUGCAGGGUCUGGGGAAGGUGUGUCACAGUCCGGCGGUGUUCUCUGGAGAACUCUGCUUGGUCUACCUCCAGCGUCCAGGGUCCAGGAACAGAAAGCGCGGCGCAUCUGGAUCUUGGGUCUUCAGGGCCCUCUCUUGGCCCCACCUUGUAGGCGUGAGAGUUACCGAAGCCUCAAUGGGGGUUGGAACUUCCAGAUCAAAGCUGGAAUGGCUACUCACUACACCCAAGUCCGACUUGGUGAACUUUUAUUUAUUUAUUGGGGGCUGCUUAAAGGAGCAUGUAUGGUUCAAAGGAGGCUGAAUCCCGCCCCCCGCCCCCCAAAAAAACAGCAUUAAGUAAUGACUUCGGUUCUGUAAGACAAAGGGGGUUAGGGUUCUUACAGGUCUCUAGAAAGAGAUGGGGGAGGGUUCCUGUUAUCUAGACUACACGCUCAAAGUGGCAAGGAGGAAGACCCUAGAUAUAAUUCAAGAUUGUCUUAAGCCUGACAUCCGAGGGAGCUGGGCUUUGCUCACAGCUGUAAAGGGGAGGGAAGGGACUCUGAAAACUGUAAGGUCCUAGCAGCUCUCCGUAGCUGGCCUUGAGAGUCUGCGGGGUGGUGGCCUGAUUUGGGAGAGAAAAAGAAAGCCAGCUAGAGGAUCUGUGGAUCUAACACCUGUAUCUUGCCUCUACUAUUUAAAAUAGCUUCUAUAUUGCCAUCACUGUUAGUUUGAAUCUCUGAGUUACGGUUUCAAAGUGAAAUGUUUCCCACAGACUCCUGUUUUGAGUACUUGGCCCCCACUUGGUGGCACUAUUUUGGGAGGUUUUGGAGAUUUGGGAAGAUGGGAAGACCUAUCUGAAGGAAGUGGGUUUCUAGGGUGUGUCCUGGGGAUAUAGUAUUCCUGAGCAUUUCCUCUUGUUCUCUCUGCUUCCGGGCCCACCAACAUGUGAACUCAGCUACUUCACCAUGCCCUCCCCUGCCAUGAUGGACUGAACCCUUUGAAGCUGUGAGUCAAGUCAACCUCUUCAUCCCUAAGUCAUCCAUGCCAGGUGAUUCUGAUCCUGCAAUGGAAAAGUAACUAGUGAACACAGCUGUCCUUCGUGGGAUGUUUUCUUAGCCCUGGCUUUGCCAGCAAAGAUACUGAGAAGACCAAGACCCCACGCUGGUGGACUUGGGAAGAGAUAUACAGAAGCAAGCACCAAACUCACCUGGGUUGCUGAGUGUACCUAGGACAGGCAUAAAGGGUCAAAACAGAAGGACUGUUUUACACGAGAGGCCACUAAGGUCUCUCUGGUAAGGUAACGGGCACAGCUCUGAAGGAGAGGGUGGUAAAAGUCAUAAAGGGGUGUGUGUGUGUGUGUGUGUGUGUGUGCACGUGUGAAGGAGAGAGGGUAGUAAGAGUCAUGAGGAUGUGUGUGUGUGUGUGUGUGUGUGUGUGUGUGUGUGUGUGUGUCUGUCUGUCUGUCUGUCUGAAGGAGAAGGUGGUAAGAGCCAUGAGGAUAUGUGUGUGUGUGUGUGAAGGAGAAGGUGAUAAGAGCCAUGAGGAUGUGUGUGUGUGUGUGUGUGUGUGUGUGUGUGUGUGUGUGUGUGUAGAAGGUGGUAAGAGCCAUGAGGAUAUAUGUGUGUGUGUGUUUGUGUGUGUGUGUGUGUGACGGAGAAGGUGAUAAGAACCAUGAGGAUAUGUGUGUGUGUGCAUGUGCAUGUGCGUGCAUGCGUGCGUGCGUGCGUGCGUGUGUGCGUGUGUGUGUGUGUGUGUGUGUGAAGGAGAGGGUGGUAAGAGCCAUGAGAAUAUUGUGGGGGGGUCCCUUAGAGCCUUCAGAAGAGAAUUUAUUAUGCUUGGCAAAGUAGGAGAUGAUGUUUGUGUUUAUUUGGUUUCAAAAGCAAAUUGUCUCAUGAGAUUUAAUAAUAUAAAUCAAAGCUUUAAGAUAUGCAUUCUCUGACCCACAAGUCCACUUAGGAAUUCAGCCACUGGAAAAAUAAUGUACACAUGUAUUUAUGUAUAAGGAUCUUGAUUAGGGAAAACUUUUUUAAAAAGAAAUAAAGAUAAAUGUUCAACAAUGGGGAAAUGGUUAAUUUAAUUAAGGUUAUCCAUACCACUCAAAGGUGUAUUACCUUAACAGCCUUUGGCCAAGGUCAAGUAUAACACCAUGGAUGUAGGAAAAUGUGUACUACCAAUUGUUAAGUCAUAAUCUACACCUAAUAAAAUGCCAUUUUUGUAAAGGAAAGCUAUAUUGAUGUGUAGAACAUAUAUAAAUAUCAAAUUGUGGACAGUAAUGAUUAAUAAAUGAAGAAAUUACAGUUAA
Long non-coding RNA from Peromyscus californicus insignis, 9854 nucleotides. RefSeq lists it as uncharacterized. The record is from RefSeq and is a predicted model, not a curated record. The transcript is spliced from 2 exons. NCBI's taxonomy places the organism in Eukaryota, Metazoa, Chordata, Mammalia, Rodentia, Cricetidae.